Molecule: ribosomal RNA, 477 nt
Filed under: uncultured organism
Description: partial 16S ribosomal RNA
Rfam family: Bacterial small subunit ribosomal RNA
Source: RNAcentral
ACACUCCUGCGGGAGGCAGCAGUGGGGAAUAUUGCACAAUGGGCGCAAGCCUGAUGCAGCCAUGCCGCGUGUGUGAAGAAGGCCUUCGGGUUGUAAAGCACUUUCAGCGGGGAGGAAGGCGAUACGGUUAAUAACCGUGUUGAUUGACGUUACCCGCAGAAGAAGCACCGGCUAACUCCGUGCCAGCAGCCGCGGUAAUACGGAGGGUGCAAGCGUUAAUCGGAAUUACUGGGCGUAAAGCGCACGCAGGCGGUCUGUCAAGUCGGAUGUGAAAUCCCCGGGCUCAACCUGGGAACUGCAUUCGAAACUGGCAGGCUUGAGUCUUGUAGAGGGGGGUAGAAUUCCAGGUGUAGCGGUGAAAUGCGUAGAGAUCUGGAGGAAUACCGGUGGCGAAGGCGGCCCCCUGGACAAAGACUGACGCUCAGGUGCGAAAGCGUGGGGAGCAAACAGGAUUAGAUACCCCGGUAGUCCCAUGAU